GAAGAAACUGAAGAAACAUACAGAAGUGCUUUGUUGUCAUGCAGAUUUAGUUUAAAUACUUGCUGUCGUUAAAUUGAAAGUAUUUACAUCAUGCAUAUUAAAUAUAUACGGUAAAAUGGAUUCCGAUAUUGACACCCCGAGAUCACCUAGACUGUCGUCACGAGCACGACGGAUGCAGAGUCGGGAGCGGUAGACGCUGAAAAUCAGCGACGGUGAAUCUACCACAGAGGACGCUGUGGACUGCGACAGCCGAGCGGGAGGUGCCUGAAGACAGAUGCCGUCACCACAGCAGGCGCUGACGACGGGGCCUCUCUCAGAUGACCAGUACGAAGAAGGCGACGCUCAAGAGGGACUUACAGUGGAGGACGUCAUCAAGUUUGUAACUAAAGUAUUGUAAUUUGAAAAAAAAAAAUAUCUGAAUUCAGAGAAAAAAGUCAUUAGAUAAUUGCAUCUGUUAAUUACAAACCUGAGUAAGCCGUUAAUGUAAUCACGUAGCUUCCCCAAAACAUUAUUUCCAUAAACAGUUCCUACAUUUACUAUGGAAGGUCUAAAAAUUCGAUUAUUGAUGUCAAUUAUUAUCGCUCAUGCUGUGGUAGUUGUUUCUUUCUUCUUAUUCUAAUAUAUCAGGCAAAAUUUUAUUGCUCGCGUCAUGUUUGUUAUACUUAAGUAGAACUUAAUUGAAAAUAAGUAUGUUACAGUACUAAAAUCAAUGCAAUGAAAUUUGGGCUUAUAUUCUAUAAGCACGUGCCGAUAAUAAUGUGUCUAUAACCCUGCGUGUAAUUAGGUAAAAUAACUUAUCGUAUGGGGAUGUAAAUUUUAGUAAAAGUAAAGGGGUUGACAGUGUGGACGAUGUAUUUAAAUAUCCCUUUUUAUGUAACAAUAAUACUAGUCUGAAGAAUAAAUACCGUUUACAUCUGCAAUACCUGCUACCAUGAGUAAAUUAAAUAAUUUGAAGUUUAGCUCUACUUGAGUUGCUGUAAUUCUUUGUAUUAUUUUAUUGUAUUCUGGUGUACAAUGAAGAGUAUUGGUAUUGUAUAAACAGACUACUUUUAACUAAUAGAAUUGAAAAGGCAAUAGGCAACACGGCCGAGUGUGAUAUUAUUGUUGAUCGUGCACCGGAGGUAGCACGCAGUCGGAUGGCCGAGUGUGAUAUUUCAUAAGAUUUCAAGAAUAAAUUAUAAUUAUUUUG
Long non-coding RNA from Cydia splendana, 1189 nucleotides. RefSeq lists it as uncharacterized. NCBI's taxonomy places the organism in Eukaryota, Metazoa, Arthropoda, Insecta, Lepidoptera, Tortricidae. The transcript has 3 exons. The record is from RefSeq and is a predicted model, not a curated record.